This 286-nucleotide ribosomal RNA is filed under the name Odocoileus virginianus (white-tailed deer). RNAcentral's name for it is "partial 18S ribosomal RNA". The stretch from base 63 to 286 matches the Rfam family "Eukaryotic small subunit ribosomal RNA", at positions 738 to 961 of the family's 1831-position model. Lineage: Eukaryota; Metazoa; Chordata; Mammalia; Artiodactyla; Cervidae. The record is from RNAcentral.
ACCGCCCGUCCCCGCCCCUUGCCUCUCGGCGCCCCCUCGAUGCUCUUAGCUGAGUGUCCCGCGGGGCCCGAAGCGUUUACUUUGAAAAAAUUAGAGUGUUCAAAGCAGGCCCGAGCCGCCUGGAUACCGCAGCUAGGAAUAAUGGAAUAGGACCGCGGUUCUAUUUUGUUGGUUUUCGGAACUGAGGCCAUGAUUAAGAGGGACGGCCGGGGGCAUUCGUAUUGCGCCGCUAGAGGUGAAAUUCUUGGACCGGCGCAAGACGGACCAGAGCGAAAGCAUUUGCCAA